AUGACGAUGUAGGGCAAUGGCCCGGCGGGCGUUUCGGCUUCCCGGUGUCGUAGACCGCGACGAUUGCAGGGUGGUUCAAUGCCGCGGCGUUUUGC
Molecule: transfer RNA, 95 nt
Filed under: Mycobacterium tuberculosis
Lineage: Bacteria; Bacillati; Actinomycetota; Actinomycetes; Mycobacteriales; Mycobacteriaceae
Description: tRNA-Arg(tcg)
Source: RNAcentral